UAGGGAAUCUUCCGCAAUGGACGAAAGUCUGACGGAGCAACGCCGCGUGAACGAUGAAGGUCUUCGGAUCGUAGAGUUCUGUUGUUAGGGAAGAACAAGUACCGUGCGAAUAGAACGGUACCUUGACGGUACCUAACGAGGAAGCCCCGGCUAACUACGUGCCAGCAGCCGCGGUAAUACGUAGGGGGCAAGCGUUGUCCGGAAUUAUUGGGCGUAAAGCGCGCGCAGGCGGUUCCUUAAGUCUGAUGUGAAAGGCCACGGCUCAACCGUGGAGGGCCAUUGGAAACUGGGGAACUUGAGGACAGAAGAGGAGAGUGGAAUUCCACGUGUAGCGGUGAAAUGCGUAGAUAUGUGGAGGAACACCAGUGGCGAAGGCGACUCUCUGGUCUGUUUCUGACGCUGAGGUGCGAAAGCGUGGGUAGCAAACAGGAUUAGAUACCCUGGUAGUCCACGCCGUAAACGAUGAGUGCUAGGUGUUAGGGGGCUUCCACCCCUUAGUGCUGAAGUUAACGCUAA
This 516-nucleotide ribosomal RNA is filed under the name uncultured Bacillota bacterium. Its description in RNAcentral is "bacterial SSU rRNA". It matches the Rfam family "Bacterial small subunit ribosomal RNA", at positions 355 to 861 of the family's 1533-position model. The record is from RNAcentral. Lineage: Bacteria; Bacillati; Bacillota.